RNAcentral lists this ribosomal RNA (601 nucleotides) under Gracilaria sp. ARS-2011. RNAcentral describes it as "eukaryotic LSU rRNA". It matches the Rfam family "Eukaryotic large subunit ribosomal RNA", at positions 1284 to 1900 of the family's 3401-position model. Lineage: Eukaryota; Rhodophyta; Florideophyceae; Gracilariales; Gracilariaceae. The record is from RNAcentral.
AACAACUCACCUGCCGAAUGAAGUAGCCCUGAAAAUGGAUGACGCUUAAGCGGGUAGCCGAUACUACGCCGUCUAGAAAAUGAUUUUUUUAGAUGAGUAGGGGGGCGUGGUGAUCGUAUCGAAGCACUGCGUGCGAACGCGUGUGGAACGGUCACUAGUGCAGAUCUUGGUGGUAGUAGCAAAUAUUCAAGUGAGAACCUUGAAGGGCGAAGCGGGGAAGGGUUCCAUGCGAACAUUGAUUGGGCAUGGGUGAGUCGUACCUAAGCCGAGUGGCAAUUGCUUACUCACGCGGCGAAAGGGAAGCGGGUUGAAAUUCCCGCACACGGAUGUGGAAGCGGCGACGCAUUACUGGGGCGGUGACGUUGGCAGUGGCGCUGGGCAGAGUUUUCUUUUCUGUUUAACCGCCUGACGCUUGCACUGUGGAAUCCGCUUGUCGGGAGAAACAGGCAAGGCACGGGUAGAGCGCCGGGCUUUUUCCGGCGUCCAGCUCGCCACUGACGGCCCUUGAAAAACUGUCCUCAGAUAUUAAACUCCACGCCGUGGCGUACCGAUAACCGCAUCAGGUCCCCAAGGUGAACAGCCUCUGCUCGAUAUGAAAAAU